AGCGAACGGACGAGAAGCUUGCUUCUCUGAUGUUAGCGGCGGACGGGUGAGUAACACGUGGAUAACCUACCUAUAAGACUGGGAUAACUUCGGGAAACCGGAGCUAAUACCGGAUAAUAUUUUGAACCGCAUGGUUCAAAAGUGAAAGACGGUCUUGCUGUCACUUAUAGAUGGAUCCGCGCUGCAUUAGCUAGUUGGUAAGGUAACGGCUUACCAAGGCAACGAUGCAUAGCCGACCUGAGAGGGUGAUCGGCCACACUGGAACUGAGACACGGUCCAGACUCCUACGGGAGGCAGCAGUAGGGAAUCUUCCGCAAUGGGCGAAAGCCUGACGGAGCAACGCCGCGUGAGUGAUGAAGGUCUUCGGAUCGUAAAACUCUGUUAUUAGGGAAGAACAUAUGUGUAAGUAACUGUGCACAUCUUGA
RNAcentral lists this ribosomal RNA (425 nucleotides) under Staphylococcus aureus. RNAcentral describes it as "bacterial SSU rRNA". It matches the Rfam family "Bacterial small subunit ribosomal RNA", at positions 65 to 472 of the family's 1533-position model. Lineage: Bacteria; Bacillati; Bacillota; Bacilli; Caryophanales; Staphylococcaceae. The record is from RNAcentral.